This is a long non-coding RNA of Cyprinus carpio (common carp), 1665 nucleotides long. The record is from Ensembl. Lineage: Eukaryota; Metazoa; Chordata; Actinopteri; Cypriniformes; Cyprinidae.
AGGUAAAAUUUAGGCAAGACACCCCUGGUGAAUAGAAUAAUAAUAAUUAUAAUAAUAACCACCAUACUUCCCUGGUUAAUUAAUUACAGUACAUUAAGAAAUACAAACUGUAACAUUUGGUGUAUGGAAGUGCUGAUAAUGUGAAUUUAUUUUUUUUAUUUUUUUUUUUUGAGAAAACUGUGUUUAAAGAUUUGCAACUGAAGGCUACAAACACAAAUAAAUAGAGCAAUUAAAUAAACAUUUAAAAGUGCUUUUUCUGUCCACUAGUCUAAAACAACAUGUGAAAGGUAAAGUAGGCCAAAAUCUCAAAAUUGACCAGUGCAUGAAAAAAAAUAAAAAUAAAAUAAACAAUGCCUACUGUGUUUUGUCAUGAACAUUAAGGCCAUUUGUUUGACAUUUGAGUGGACAUUUGUAUAGUAAAUGUUGAACCCAGAACAUUCCUUUAAUGUUCUAUUCACACACACACACACACAGAGUUUGUUUGGCAGGAUUCAUGUGUGUGUGUGAGUCCGGGAACGGAUCCAUGUAUAUAACUCAUCCUACAGCAGCAGGAACCAUUGUGCUCGACUGCGGGUGCCGAGGGAACUCUGAGUCUGUGACACCUGUUACCAACAGCCGGGCCGGCCGCGCCAACGCGGUGGCCAGAGUUUGCGCCGGCUGGAGAGAACAGCAGAAACAAGCUGUGAAUGAGUCUGGAGAGAGCGGCCGAUGCUGAGCCGCCAUGCUUCGCUCCACGGGCCGCCGCUUUCCAGGUUAUGAGCAUACUUGUGUGCUGUGAGACAGAGCUACUGAGUUCUUUAAUCCAGGGAAUCUCAACCAGUGGGUCUGAUGGGUCACAGACGGCAGUGAAACGCGACAUUGUGUUAAUUUACACAUCCUGUGCAGAUCGUCUCUCGGAGUCUCUCUACAGCCCAAACCGCCCAAAACAUCCCCGUGUCGGUCCAAACAUCAUGUUUCAUCUGAGCGUUUAACGCGACGGAGCGCUGCCGUUUGUGUGUACAGUGAUGGAGGGCGGCGAGCGGGCGGCACUGACUCCAGACCAGUGACACUGUCCCACGCUCACAGCGUCUAUUGAUCUGCUCUGGAUGGACGGCUGGAGACAAACACGCGGCUUACAGCCGGUUUAGAGCUGGUUCUACGCCGCUAAACUGAACAAAUCUAGAAUGAACUCAAGCACAGCUCUAAACUUCACAACUGACUGAAUCUAAUUCCCUUUAUAUCUUCCUUUCGAUGUUUUAGUGUUGUAUCUGAAGUCUGUUUAAAAGCUUACGAAGCCCUGUACACCCUUAUGAGACAGAGAUUUACACCGACAUGUCUUAAAGUCGACAUUUCCUUCCUCCUCUUGUGUUCCUGUGUGUUUAUGGCCAGAAUGCAUGUGUUAGAAACAAAAUUUAGUUUGUUUUACUCAAAUUUAGUUAGUAUUUAGUUUAUUUAAUGAAUAGUAUUCAUUAUUUUAAAUUAGCUUUUCUUUCUGUAUUUUCAGUUUUAGAAAAUGUAUGUCUUUAUUUCAUUUUUGCUUGCUUUAUGUAUGUACUUUCCCCCUCGCCCCAGUACUUUAUUUCAAGUUUGUUUUCCAUCUAAUGUUUUAUUAUAGCUUUAUUUCAAUUAACAAAAAGGUUUCUAGUAGUUUUAGUUAACAAUAAAAACACUGCUGUCUUUAUUUCA